AGAGCGAACGCUGGCGGCAGGCCUAACACAUGCAAGUCGAGCGCCCCGCAAGGGGAGCGGCAGACGGGAGAGUAACACGUGGGAACGUACCCUUCAGUUCGGAACAACCCAGGGAAACUUGGGCUAAUACCGAAUAACGUCCGUAAGGAGAAAGAUUUAUCGCUGAAGGAUCGGCCCGCGUCUGAUUAGCUUGUUGGUGAGGUAACGGCUCACCAAGGCGACGAUCAGUAGCUGGUCUGAGAGGAUGAUCAGCCUCACUGGGACUGAGACACGGCCCAGACUCCUACGGGAGGCAGCAGUGGGGAAUAUGGACAAUGGGCGCAAGCCUGAUCCAGCCAUGCCGCGUGGGUGAUGAAGGCCCUAGGGUUGUAAAGCCCUUUCGGCGGGGAAGAUAAUGACGGUACCCGCAGAAGAAGCCCCGGCUAACUUCGCGCCAGCAGCCGC
RNAcentral lists this ribosomal RNA (444 nucleotides) under uncultured bacterium. RNAcentral describes it as "SSU rRNA". It matches the Rfam family "Bacterial small subunit ribosomal RNA", at positions 26 to 518 of the family's 1533-position model. The record is from RNAcentral.